Acanthaster planci (crown-of-thorns starfish) is the source of this 915-nucleotide long non-coding RNA. Lineage: Eukaryota; Metazoa; Echinodermata; Asteroidea; Valvatida; Acanthasteridae. The record is from RefSeq and is a predicted model, not a curated record.
CCCGAUGUGAUUAUUAUUGUGCAUACAGGAAGUGCUAAAUGGGCAGCAUAUAAACGGAAAGGGAGAAUAUAAUGUAGAAGGUUUGGUGAUUCACGGGCUGUCGAACUAAACGACAAUUAGUCGCAUUUUUGUACAUUAUCGAAUAAAAAAAUUAUAGUUUAGACGUGUUUCUGAUGAAGUGGAAUGGACAUUCUGCUUAAAUGUGAGUUUUUAAUCCCUUCUUGUUUCCCUUUAAUGACUAUUCAUAAAUUCGUGUCUUUGUGACCCGUUUGUGAUCGGUGUUUUUUUAUUUCGCUUUCGAUCCUUCAAAUAAUGUUUAGUUUCUUGCAUGUACCUUUAUAAUGGCUAGCAUUUCGUUUCAUGAUUUUGAUUUCAAGUAACGUUUCUUUCUUUUUAGUUUUUUCUCUUUCAUGUUCAGGACUGUAUGACGAAAACGGUCGACAAAGGAAAAAGCAAACGUACAGAACCUGAUAGGUCAUGGUUGAACGAAGCUGAAGAUGACUGGUCACUUAGCAUUUAGAUGUGCCUCACUGAAGUGCAUAAGAUAAGUAAUCUUUCAGUUUGAGCAAAACUUUUGGCCUAUAUAACGAAAGGUAAGGCUUUGAGUUUCUUUUUUCUUUCCGUGCUUUCUUUACCACGGCGUAUUGUUGGCUUCCACUAUUCGUGCUUCAUUAUUGUUUCGCAGGUUGUUUCUUUUUAUGUGUCUUUCGUAUUUUUGUAUUCUUUCUUUCGACCAGCGAAACAAGUUUAUUUUUCAUCAUAAACUCCAAUGAGCAGACGUACAAUUCUGACGAUGGAGGAAGCGGACUGUACACGACUCAACACAAACUGCAAAUAAGGGACUAAAUCCUUGAAGCAAGAUUUUACCAAGUGGAUGAACUUGGAAUGACCACCAAAGAUAAUGCAACUAUCCAU